CCUACGGAGGCUGCAGUGGGGAAUAUUGCACAAUGGGGGAAACCCUGAUGCAGCGACGCCGUGUGAGUGAAGAAGUAAUUCGUUACGUAAAGCUCUAUCAGCAGGGAAGAAAUACUGACCUUACGGUCAGCAGACGGUACCUGAGUAAGAAGCCCCGGCUAACUACGUGCCAGUAGCCGCGGUAAUACGUAGGGGGCAAGCGUUAUCCGGAUUUACUGGGUGUAAAGGGAGCGUAGACGGUGCGCCAAGUCUGGAGUGAAAUGCCGCGGCUUAACUGCGGAACUGCUUUGGAAACUGGCGAACGUGAGUGAGUGAGAAGUAUGCGGAAGGCGUGGUGUAGCGGUGAAAUGCAUAGAUAUCACGCAGAACUCCGAUUGCGAAGGCAGCAUACCGGCGCUCAACUGACGCUCAUGCACGAAAGUGUGGGUAUCGAACAGGAUUAGAUACCCCUAUAGUC
Molecule: ribosomal RNA, 457 nt
Filed under: uncultured bacterium
Lineage: Bacteria
Description: partial 16S ribosomal RNA
Rfam family: Bacterial small subunit ribosomal RNA
Source: RNAcentral